UCAGGCGGGACUACCCGCUGAGUUUAAGCAUAUCAAUAAGCGGAGGAAAAGAAACUAACUAGGAUUCCCUUAGUAGCGGCGAGCGAACCGGGAUCAGCCCAACUUGUAAAUCAUUAGCCCCUGGCUAAUUGAAUUGUAGUCUCAAGAUGCGAUCUCUGCAGCUAGCAGUGCCCAAUUUUCCUUGGGAAAGGGAGUCAGAGAGGGUGAGAACCCCGUCGGCACUUGCCUCAGCUGCUCCAUGAGGCGUUUUCUCAGAGUCGGGUUGCUUGGGAAUGCAGCCCUAAGUAGGUGGUAAAUCCCAUCUAAGGCUAAAUACUGACGGGAGACCGAUAGCGAACAAGUACCGUGAGGGAAAGAUGAAAAGAACUUUGAAAAGAGAGUCAAAAGUGCUUGAAAUUGUUGAGGGGGAAGGAAUUGGAAGCCGUUUGUGCGCCUG
This 436-nucleotide ribosomal RNA is filed under the name Chrysotila carterae. RNAcentral describes it as "partial Eukaryotic large subunit ribosomal RNA". It matches the Rfam family "Eukaryotic large subunit ribosomal RNA", at positions 11 to 444 of the family's 3401-position model. Lineage: Eukaryota; Haptophyta; Isochrysidales; Isochrysidaceae. The record is from RNAcentral.